This 714-nucleotide ribosomal RNA is filed under the name Priestia megaterium. RNAcentral's name for it is "Bacillus megaterium partial 16S ribosomal RNA". It matches the Rfam family "Bacterial small subunit ribosomal RNA", at positions 18 to 709 of the family's 1533-position model. The record is from RNAcentral. Lineage: Bacteria; Bacillati; Bacillota; Bacilli; Caryophanales; Bacillaceae.
CNGGGCUCAGNNNNAACGNNGGNNGNCGGUGCNUAAUACAUGCAAGUCGAGNGAACUGAUUAGAAGCUUGNUUNUANGACGUUAGCGGCGGACGGGUGAGUAACACNNGGNCAACCUGCCUGUAAGACUGGGAUAACUUCGGGAAACCGAAGCUAAUACCGGAUAGGNUCUUNUCCUUCAUGGGAGAUGAUUGAAAAGAUGGUUUCGGNUNNUCACUUACAGAUGGGCCCGCGGUGCAUUAGCUAGUUGGUGAGGUAACGGCUCACCAAGGCCACGAUGCAUAGCCGACCUGAGAGGGUGAUCGGCCACACUGGGACUGAGACACGGCCCAGACUCCUACGGGAGGCAGCAGUAGGGAAUCUUCCGCAAUGGACGAAAGUCUGACGGAGCAACGCCGCGUGAGUGAUGAAGGCUUUCGGGUCGUAAAACUCUGUUGUUAGGGAAGAACAAGUACAAGAGUAACUGCUUGUACCUUGACGGUACCUAACCAGAAAGCCACGGCUAACUACGUGCCAGCAGCCGCGGUAAUACGUAGGUGGCAAGCGUUAUCCGGAAUUAUUGGGCGUAAAGCGCGCGCAGGCGGUUUCUUAAGUCUGAUGUGAAAGCCCACGGCUCAACCGUGGAGGGUCAUUGGAAACUGGGGAACUUGAGUGCAGAAGAGAAAAGCGGAAUUCCACGUGUAGCGGUGAAAUGCGUAGAGAUGUGGAGGAACAC